AGCGAACGCUGGCGGCGUGCCUAACACAUGCAAGUCGAACGUGAAAGGGAGCAAUCCCAAGUAAAGUGGCGUCCGGGUGAGUAACACGUAGGUAAUCUACCCCAGAAUCUGGAAUAACCGGCCGAAAGGCUGGCUAAUACUGGAUAGAGCGACGGAAUCCGUAAUUGGGUUUUUCGGGAAAGGGAGCCCGUAAAAAGGCCUUCGUUCUGGGAUGAGCCUGCGUCCCAUCAGCUAGUUGGUGAGGUAAAAGCUUACCAAGGCAAUGACGGGUAGCUGGUCUGAGAGGACGAUCAGCCACACUGGAACUGAAACACGGUCCAGACUCCUACGGGAGGCAGCAGUGGGGAAUCUUGCGCAAUGGACGAAAGUCUGACGCAGCAACGCCGCGUGAGUGAAGAAGGCCUUCGGGUUGUAAAGCUCGGUCGAGUGGGACGAAAAUGCUUGGAGUUCACAGCUCCAGGAACUGACGGUACCACUAAAGGAAGCACCGGCUAACUCCGUG
RNAcentral lists this ribosomal RNA (502 nucleotides) under uncultured bacterium. Its description in RNAcentral is "partial 16S ribosomal RNA". It matches the Rfam family "Bacterial small subunit ribosomal RNA", at positions 29 to 507 of the family's 1533-position model. The record is from RNAcentral.